Molecule: unclassified non-coding RNA, 253 nt
Filed under: uncultured delta proteobacterium
Lineage: Bacteria; Deltaproteobacteria
Description: contains 16S-23S intergenic spacer region
Rfam family: Bacterial small subunit ribosomal RNA
Source: RNAcentral
UACAGAGGGUGCAAGCGUUAUUCGGAAUUACUGGGCGUAAAGAGCGUGUAGGCUGUUCGAUAAGUCUGGUGUGAAAUCCCUGGUCUCAAGCCAGGAAGUGCAUUGGAUACUGUCGGACUAGAGUGCAGGAGAGGUAAGCGGAAUUCCCGGUGUAGAGGUGAAAUUCGUAGAUAUCGGGAGGAACAACAGAGGCGAAGGCGGCUUACUGGACUGUUGCUGACGCUAAGGCGCGAAAGCGUGGGGAGCAAACAGG